RNAcentral lists this ribosomal RNA (428 nucleotides) under uncultured beta proteobacterium. RNAcentral's name for it is "bacterial SSU rRNA". It matches the Rfam family "Bacterial small subunit ribosomal RNA", at positions 958 to 1385 of the family's 1533-position model. Lineage: Bacteria; Pseudomonadati; Pseudomonadota; Betaproteobacteria. The record is from RNAcentral.
AACGCGAAGAACCUUACCUGCCCUUGACAUGUCAGGAAGCUCACAGAGAUGUGGGUGUGCCUUCGGGAACCUGAACACAGGUGCUGCAUGGCUGUCGUCAGCUCGUGUCGUGAGAUGUUGGGUUAAGUCCCGUAACGAGCGCAACCCUUGUCCUUAGUUACCAGCACGUUAUGGUGGGAACUCUAAGGAGACUGCCGGUGACAAACCGGAGGAAGGUGGGGAUGACGUCAAGUCCUCAUGGCCCUUAUGGGCAGGGCUACACACGUGCUACAAUGGUCGGUACAGAGAGUUGCCAACCCGCGAGGGGGAGCUAAUCUCACAAAACCGAUCUCAGUCCGGAUUGAGGUCUGCAACUCGACCCCAUGAAGCUGGAAUCGCUAGUAAUCGUGGAUCAGAACGCCACGGUGAAUACGUUCCCGGGCCUUGUA